This 465-nucleotide ribosomal RNA is filed under the name uncultured Klebsiella sp. RNAcentral's name for it is "bacterial SSU rRNA". It matches the Rfam family "Bacterial small subunit ribosomal RNA", at positions 338 to 795 of the family's 1533-position model. The record is from RNAcentral. Lineage: Bacteria; Pseudomonadati; Pseudomonadota; Gammaproteobacteria; Enterobacterales; Enterobacteriaceae.
CCUACGGGGAGCUGCAGUGGGGAAUAUUGCACAAUGGGCGCAAGCCUGAUGCAGCCAUGCCGCGUGUGUGAAGAAGGCCUUCGGGUUGUAAAGCACUUUCAGCGGGGAGGAAGGCGUUAAGGUUAAUAACCUUGUCGAUUGACGUUACCCGCAGAAGAAGCACCGGCUAACUCCGUGCCAGCAGCCGCGGUAAUACGGAGGGUGCAAGCGUUAAUCGGAAUUACUGGGCGUAAAGCGCACGCAGGCGGGCUGUCAAGUCGGAUGUGAAAUCCCCGGGCUCAACCUGGGAACUGCAUUCGAAACUGGCAGGCUAGAGUCUUGUAGAGGGGGGUAGAAUUCCAGGUGUAGCGGUGAAAUGCCUAGAGAUCUGGAGGAAUACCGGUGGCGAAGGCGGCCCCCUGGACAAAGACUGACGCUCAGGUGCGAAAGCGUGGGGAGCGAACAGGAUUAGAUACCCGAGUAGUC